Mus musculus (house mouse) is the source of this 5376-nucleotide long non-coding RNA. RefSeq annotates it as predicted gene, 31724. The record is from RefSeq and is a predicted model, not a curated record. NCBI's taxonomy places the organism in Eukaryota, Metazoa, Chordata, Mammalia, Rodentia, Muridae. The transcript has 4 exons.
UCUCUGAGAGUCAUAGAGCAUCUUAUCAACCAAGCACUGGGCUGGUCUGCAGCUUUCCCAUUGGCUCCAGAAAGGGCCUUGCUCUGUGUAGGUUGGGGGACACCGUACAGGUUUUGGGGUACUCCAUGCCUGGAUGGAGAUUCCCUGGUAGACCUGGGAACAGCGCACAGGCUGGGAUCAAUGAGGAAGAGUUCGGACACAGUGGAGGGGAUUGCAGCGGGAGAGCCAGACUGACUAGUGAGAUGUGAGAUCUCUGUGUUUGAGAUCCUUGGACUGUAGGCCAACAGCAUCCUGAGCACAGAGUGGCUGCUUUGAUGACCUGCACCUUAUGGCAAGGCCAACAAGAGGAUCACCCACAUCCUGGAGAUUCUGAUGGAUGCUUAAAUGAUACUUCAAUGAAGAGCAGGGAGAAGAAGGCUGACCUCCUGAGAUGGUUCUGAGAAGGCUGAAAAGAAGCACUCAAGGACUGAAUCCUGCCAACAACCAUGUUCAGUUGGAUGUGGAUAUCCUCCGAGCCUUCAGAAAAGACCCUAUCUCCUGAUCUGCGGCCUGUGAGAGACCCCGAGUCAGCUCCGGGUGGAACCGUGCCCAGACUUCAGAGACCAUCUGAGAAGAACGGUGCUUUCCGCUGCCAGGUUUGGUGGGUGAUUUGCCCCCCGGUGGUGGGUAAUGAACUCAGCACAUUAUGGAAAGUUCCAGUUUCCCACCGCACAUCUGCAGGAAGGUUCCAAUCAAGGCUGCAGAGAGGAUUGACAGAGCAGGUGCCUGCAGGUGUGUGAGGCACCCAGGAAGCCAGGGAGAGCAGCUUUGUUACUAAUUUACACCAUACUGGUGAUGAUGGCUGCUCUGGGCCUCAGCAUUUAGGACCCUGCCUGGGCUCGCCUUUAAUGUGCACACAUUCAUUCAGCUCACUCACUCUGCGUCCAGCGCUGCUGUCCCGGCUGCGUUCAGAAUACCAACAAGGUCACACAGAGUGCCUUGGUAAUAACGUCCCUUACCUUGGUAAGGAUCUUUAUGAUGCACAAAACUCAUUUUGGUGGUAAUCACUCAAUUGGCAGAGCAGAAGCAGGCUCUUCCAUUUCCUCCUUUAUCUGGGGUGUGUCUUUGGGGAGAAUAGAACCCAUUUUCCCAUCCCUUGGACCUGUGUGGACCUUGAGAAGAGACUGAAACUUAGAGACGAAAGGACUUUUUUAAAAGGCAAAGUGAAGUCUUGUAACAGGGAAGUAGUCAUAGAAAAUCUAUAAUCUAGUAAUGUUCAGCAUCUCCGACAGUGGAUGCUAACAGUGGGCCUCGGAGCCCACUCUGUGACUCAUUAACUCAACGGCCCUCAGCCCCUGCUCCUUCUCACUCUCCUGAGCUCUGGCUCUUUGGAUCUGCAUGCUCUGGACAGUGCCUGUAACUGGAGUAGUAUAAUAUACAUGUAUAUGUGUAUAUAUAUUAUACAUAUAUAGCACAUAGGAUAUAUAUAUAUAUAUAUAUAUACACAUACACACACAUAUAUAUACGAUAUAGAAUGUAUGUGCUGCGUGUGCCCACAUUUGUGUGUGUGUGUGAACACUGAGUGUCUUCCUCAGUUACUCUUCAGAUCUUGUUUUGUGUGUGAGUACUAUAAUGCGCGCGCGUGUGUUUGACUGUGUAGUAUGCGCACUGUAUGCAUGUGUGCCCAUUUAUGAGCCAGAGGUUGACUUAAAACAUCUAUGGCUCUCUACCUUAUUUUUUGAGACAGGCUAUCUCUCCAUAAAUUUAGAGCACAAACCUACAGUUAGACUGUCUGGCCAGCAAGCCCCAAGAUCUACUGCCUCUACCCUCUAGCACCAGGGUUACGAAGUCCACCCUCAGCCUUUUGGUUCUUGUUUUUUUUCCUGGAUGGUAGAGAUUCAUUAUCAGGUACUUUUUGUUUUUGGUUUUUUUGUUUUUGUUUUUGUUUUUUGUUUUUUUGUUUUUUUUGAGACAGGGUUUCUCUGUGUAGCCCUGGCUGUCCUGGAACUCACUCUGUAGACCAGGCUGGCCUCGAACUCAGAAAUCCACCUGCCUCUGCCUCCCGAGUGCUGGGAUUAAAGGCGUGCGCCACCACGCCCGGCUUAUCAGGUACUUUUGUUACUGAACCGUUUCCCUAGCCCGCCACUCUAUGGUUGAGACGAGGUCUCUCACCAGAGCCAGUAGUAUGCUGUUUUGGCUAGACCGGCUAGCCAGCUCGCCUCCUGAAUGAUUCUGUCCCUGCUUCUCCAGUGCUGGGAUUACGUGUAUGCACCACUGAGACUGACUAUUCGCAAGUUCUGGGCCUUGAACUCAGCUCCUCACAACUUUGCGGCAAGCUCUUUGUCAACGGAGCCACACCCCCUCGCCUUAGAGACACUUGAUUGGUAUAGUUGGUUUGUUCCUGGCAUCUAGUGGAGAGAGGCCUGGGAUGGUGCCUCCUGGCUGGUUUCUCGUGUCAAUCUGAUACAAGCUAGAGAGAGAGGGGGAGGAGCCUCAGUUGGAGAAAUGCCUCCAGGAAAUCCAGCUGCAAGGCAUUUUCUCAAUUAGUGAUCAGUGUGGGAGGGCCCUGCCCAUUGUGGGUAAUGUCAUCCCUGGGCUGGUAGCCCUAGGUUCUGUAAGAAAGCAGGCUGAGCAAGCCCUGGGAAGCAAGCCAGUAAGCAGCAUCCCCGAAUGACCUCUGCAUCAGCUUCUGCCUCCAGGCUCUAGCCCUGCUUGAGUUCCUGAGUUCUGACUUCCUUCAAUGAGAGGUUAUGGAAAUGUGAGCAGACCCCCCCCCCCAACAAUAGAAACCUUAACUAGGACAUCCAUCAGGGUCUGGACCACAAAAAAUUGCCUCAGGGUGAAUGUUGCUAGUGACAUGUGGAGCUAGCUUCUCUUCUGGUCUCUCCUCCAUCUCUGGCGUCUCCCAUUGCCCACCUACCUCAUCCUAGCUGCUUGUCUCCCUUCCUACAGCUGCUCUCUGCUGCCCCCUCCUGGCACCGCCUUCCCAGCCUUGGUGGGAGAUGAGCAGACAGGGGUCAGGAUCCAGAGCCUUCUGACUUACACCAUAACCUUCUAGAGUCUUCUACAGGCUUCUCUCCAGCCCUGGCUGGCUUCUUCCUCCUGUGAAGGUCUCUCCAGUUCCUGCUUCCUGUGGUUUCUACUGGGCCCCAAAGGGACAGUGUUGGUCACGUUUGGUCACGUUUGGUCCCAUGUCCUCCUGGCAGGAACCUACCCAAGAAACAUGUCCGUAGGAGUCCGGCUUUGCCACACCAACCACAGCUGAUCCAAUUUUUCUUAAUUAGUACAUUUAAUUAUUAGUAACAUUUCACUUAAGUAGAAUUAAUUACCCCAUCAGCAGCCCUGGCCAACCCUUCUCACGUGAGCUUUUAUUGCUAUUCCCACACCGAGGCCAGGAGCCUCCCCCAUCCUUAUCUCUCUGAUGGAACUGGCUCCCAGCAAGAGCUCCUGGGAACGAAAUCCCCCACUUCUUGCACCUGUGGAGGACUCCAGCCAAAGCAUUCAAUCAAGCCAGAAAUUAUGGGCAGCUGGGGUGAGCACAGGACAAGGAGAGGAGCUGUGCACCCAAGGUGAUUAGCAUCUUAUUCCCCGCAGGCUGAAUGAACCCGAUUCAUGGACAGCUUCUGUCUCUGGGCUGUAUGUUCCAGAACAGGUGCUCUGUCAGGCAGUGGGGAGAGAGGCAAUGGACUCCAGCCUGCUUUUCUCACUUGUCUGCUUUAAGGUGGCCCUGGAGAGGAAGACUGAGGGUUAGAAGUACCAGCCUCUGAGCAGUUAGUGGGUUUGGGUUUCCUAGGGGUGCACACCAUUGGAUUGGGUAAGCCACACCCAGGAGGCUCCCCGGAGGUCAGGAAAUGGCAGAGACUCCAAUACCAGGUCAACGUGAUUAUGCCUGACGAGAGGGGCUCCUGUAGUCAGCCGGUCUGUGAAUCUCUUUAAACCCUUUCCUAAAUGACCCACAGAGCCGGAGCCUCAGGAGAGGCCGAAGUGGAUGCGGAGCUGGAAGGAUGCGUUUCAUGCCCACCUUUUGGAUGGCGCUGGUCAGACUGGCUGUCUGGCUGUCUGUCUCUAUCUCAUCCCAUCGCCCAAUGGUUCUUGACCUUCGACAGGUCACUCACUCUCUGAGACUUGGCUUGCUCAGCUGGAAAAUGGCUAACAGCUAUUUUGGUGGGCUGCAGUCAACAGGGGUCUUGACUGGCAGAAUGAUAAAGGCCCCCGGUGGCCCAGGAUCAAAGCAAUCUGUUUAAUUUUAAUUAGCCCCAGCUUGCUUUGCUUUUACUGAUUGAUUGACACUUGAGACUGAAGGAGUUUCACACUCUACCACUGGCUUGAAUCUUCACCUUUUCUGGGGGGAAAAAAAUCAAAAGACUUUUGAGAGACAGGACCUCACUAAACUGCUCAGACUGCUCUUGAACUUGCUUGGUAGCCCAGCUUGGCCUCAGCCUUGUGAUUUUCCUACAGAUCAUUGUGAGUCCUUGGUGGGACAACAGUGGAUGCAAAAUCCAUGGUACUGACAGAGCAAGGCAGAAGCCACAAGGACUCCACCAUAGUCCACGGCACUGACAUGGCAAAGCAGAAGCCAAGAGAGGAUUCUUUUAUAAUCCAAGCAAGGCGGAAGCCGGAAGGUCAGCUCCCAGCCACCAUGAUGGAGUGGAGCUGGUUCUGGCUUCAGUGUUGAAACAUCCAAGUUCAUUUUCUAACUCGUAUUUCAGAGUGAUUCUUGGGUCUAAUUCCAUCUGGGUAGUGUCUGCAACUAUCUCCUCCCUGUUUCCCUUGUGUGGUUAUGUGUAAAGUCCAUUCCUCCGUUUGCUGCAUAGGAAGGUGCUUGUCUUGAGAGAAAUGCCCAGGUAUGACUUCUUGUUGGUAUUUAUCUCCCCUCCUCCACCCCUGCCACUACUUCAGCUGGGGCAGGUAUUGUGAGCAGGGUUGUGAUGGUUUGUAUGUGCUUGGCCCAGAGAGUGGCACUACUGGGAGGUGUAGCCUUGUUGGAGUAGGUGUGUCACUGUGGGUGUGGGCUUAAGACCUUCAUCCUAGCUGCCUGGAAGUGAGUUUCCUCAUAGCAGCCUUCAGAUGAAGAUGGAGAACUCUCAGCUCCUCCUGCACUAUGCCUACCUGGAUGCUGCCAUGCUCUUGCCUUGAUGAUAAUGGACUGAAUCUCUGAACCUAUAAUCCAGCCCCAAUUAAAUGUUCUCCUUCUAAGAGUUGCCUUGGGGGCUGGUGAGAUGGCUCAGCGAGUAAGAGCACUGACUACUCUUCCAAAGGUCCUGAGUUCAAAUCCCAGCAACCACAUGGUGGCUUACAACCAUCCGUAAUGAGAUCUGAUGCCCUCUUCUGGAAUGUCUGAAGACAGCUACAGUGUACUUACAUAUAAUAAAUAAAUAAAUCUUAAAAAAAAAAAAA